GACGAACGCUGGCGGCGUGCUUAACACAUGCAAGUCGAACGGAAAGGCCCUGCUUUUGUGGGGUGCUCGAGUGGCGAACGGGUGAGUAACACGUGAGUAACCUGCCCUUGACUUUGGGAUAACUUCAGGAAACUGGGGCUAAUACCGGAUAGGAGCUCCUGCUGCAUGGUGGGGGUUGGAAAGUUUCGGCGGUUGGGGAUGGACUCGCGGCUUAUCAGCUUGUUGGUGGGGUAGUGGCUUACCAAGGCUUUGACGGGUAGCCGGCCUGAGAGGGUGACCGGCCACAUUGGGACUGAGAUACGGCCCAGACUCCUACGGGAGGCAGCAGUGGGGAAUAUUGCACAAUGGGCGGAAGCCUGAUGCAGCAACGCCGCGUGCGGGAGGACGGCCUUCGGGUUGUAAACCGCUUUCGCCUGUGACGAAGCGUGAGUGACGGUAUGGGUAAAGAAGCACCGGCUAACUACGUG
Molecule: ribosomal RNA, 467 nt
Filed under: uncultured bacterium
Lineage: Bacteria
Description: partial 16S ribosomal RNA
Rfam family: Bacterial small subunit ribosomal RNA
Source: RNAcentral